CCCCCUACAGGAGCACUCAGUAGGUCUUCUGUUUCUGACCCAUGAAGCCGUCAAGAAGGGGCAGAGCAAAAACACCACUUUUGGGUGAAGAGGCCACAUGUUGUGUUGUUUUGCUUCAGUCGGUGGGGUGACAAGA
Molecule: small nucleolar RNA, 136 nt
Organism: Oryctolagus cuniculus (rabbit)
Lineage: Eukaryota; Metazoa; Chordata; Mammalia; Lagomorpha; Leporidae
Source: Ensembl